AUGUUCUCUCAUGAUGAUCCUAAACUGACUGUCUAUUUAUUGAUCCUAAAUGUUUUCUCUACAAAUGUAUCAUUCGAAACUCUGACUCAGCCAGCAUCUUUAACUGUGCAGCCAGGUCAACGUCUGACCAUCAGAUGUCAGGUCUCUUAUGAUCUGGGCAGCUACUACACAGCUUGGAUCAGACAGGCUGCUGGAAAAGGACUGGAAAGACUGGAAUGGAUUGGGAUAAAAAAUAGCUAUGGAAACUCAUACUACAAAGAUUCUUUGAAGAACAAGUUUAGCAUUAAUUUAGACACUUCCAGUAAAACAGUGACUUUGAAUGGAGAGAAUAUGCAGCCUGAAGACUCUGCUGUGUAUUACUGUGCCAGAGAGUCACAGUGA
Molecule: non-coding RNA, 381 nt
Organism: Cyprinodon variegatus (sheepshead minnow)
Lineage: Eukaryota; Metazoa; Chordata; Actinopteri; Cyprinodontiformes; Cyprinodontidae
Source: the annotation of a RefSeq genome assembly